AGCUCCAAUAGCGUAUAUUAAAGUUGUUGCGGUUAAAAAGCUCGCAGUUGGAUUUCUGCUGGGGACGACCGGUCCGCCCCCCGGGUGAGUAUCUGGUUUCGUCCUCGGCAUCUUCUUGGAGAACGUAUCUGCACUUGACUGUGUGGUGCGGUAUCCAGGACCUUUACUUUGAGGAAAUUAGAGUGUUUCAAGCAGGCGCCCGCCUUGUAUACGUUAGCAUGGAAUAAUAAGAUAGGACCUUGGUUCUAUUUUGUUGGUUUCUAGAACUGAGGUAAUGAUUAAUAGGGAUAGUUGGGGGCAUUCGUAUUUAACUGUCAGAGGUGAAAUUCUUGGAUUUGUUAAAGACGAACUACUGCGAAAGCAUUUGCCAAGGAUGUUUUCA
This 382-nucleotide ribosomal RNA is filed under the name uncultured eukaryote. RNAcentral's name for it is "SSU rRNA". It matches the Rfam family "Eukaryotic small subunit ribosomal RNA", at positions 587 to 972 of the family's 1831-position model. The record is from RNAcentral.